This 253-nucleotide ribosomal RNA is filed under the name uncultured bacterium. RNAcentral's name for it is "partial 16S ribosomal RNA". It matches the Rfam family "Bacterial small subunit ribosomal RNA", at positions 524 to 776 of the family's 1533-position model. The record is from RNAcentral.
UACGGAGGGUGCAAACGUUGCUCGGAAUCAUUGGGCGUAAAGCGCGUGUAGGCGGCCAGAAAAGUCCGCUGUGAAAACUCGAGGCUCAACUUCGAGCUGUCGGUGGAAACUUUCUGGCUAGAGUCCGGAAGAGGAGAAUGGAAUUCCUGGUGUAGCGGUGAAAUGCGCAGAUAUCAGGAAGAACACCCGUGGCGAAGGCGGUUCUCUGGGACGGUACUGACGCUGAGACGCGAAAGCGUGGGGAGCGAACAGG